GACGAACGCUGGCGGCGUGCUUAACACAUGCAAGUCGAACGGAAAGGCCCUGCUUUUGUGGGGUGCUCGAGUGGCGAACGGGUGAGUAACACGUGAGUAACCUGCCCUUGACUUUGGGAUAACUUCAGGAAACUGGGGCUAAUACCGGAUAGGAGCUCCUGCUGCAUGGGGGGGGUUGGAAAGUUUCGGCGGUUGGGGAUGGACUCGCGGCUUAUCAGCUUGUUGGUGGGGUAGUGGCUUACCAAGGCUUUGACGGGUAGCCGGCCUGAGAGGGUGACCGGCCACAUUGGGACUGCGAUACGGCCCAGACUCCUACGGGAGGCAGCAGUGGGGAAUAUUGCACAAUGGGCGGAAGCCUGAUGCAGCAACGCCGCGUGCGGGAUGACGGCCUUCGGGUUGUAAACCGCUAUCGCCUGUGACGAAGCGUGAGUGACGGUAAUGGGUAAAGAAGCACCGGCUAACUACGUG
This 468-nucleotide ribosomal RNA is filed under the name uncultured bacterium. Its description in RNAcentral is "partial 16S ribosomal RNA". It matches the Rfam family "Bacterial small subunit ribosomal RNA", at positions 28 to 507 of the family's 1533-position model. The record is from RNAcentral.